Long non-coding RNA from Hippocampus comes (tiger tail seahorse), 1033 nucleotides. RefSeq lists it as uncharacterized. The record is from RefSeq and is a predicted model, not a curated record. The transcript has 2 exons. Lineage: Eukaryota; Metazoa; Chordata; Actinopteri; Syngnathiformes; Syngnathidae.
CGGAAGGCGGCCGGCGGUGGCGGAGGCGAAGGCGGAGGCGAGGAAUCCACGCGAGAGCCGCGCGAAGAAAAGUUGCGCGUCAAAACGGAAGAAAUCCUUCCCGACCGGAUUUCUGUGCGCAACCAGGGCAGAGGGAGGGGAGGAAGGAGGAGCACUGGCCGAGGACGACGCUCUGUCUGCCGGCUUAAGAGAGCAGGAUUCCCCGGUCACCUCUGGAGCGACCUGUCUCUCUGACUGUCUGUCUGCCUGUCGGUCUCUGACUGUCUCAGUGGAUGACUUCCUUCCUGUGUAUCCUUUCACAUACACACGCACGCACACGCGCACGCACACACCCACACACACUGGUCGUUCCAAUGCAAAUAUGAAGCAAAACAUCAGGGUUGACUGAAGUGCUGUAUAAUUCUUUUGGCAUCUAAAACUAUAUCGUAAGUAACAUUACAGUGUCGCAAGACAAGAUAAAUCCCGCAUUUCUUCCCAGUAUUCUGGAAUGAAACAUCUGUCCAGGGGUGCAACAGCGUUUGCCCCAGCCAAGUGGGCGUGGCUAUCGCUGGGCAACACCAUCUGAGGAAUUUGGUUAAACUACAUCUCUGCUGUACAUCUGCCCCAGGCAAAAUUAGCAUGCCAUUGUCAGGAUUUUUUUUUCAAUGAAUUAUUUUUUGGGGAUGGUGGGGGGGGGGGGCGAUAUGGCGUUAAAUUUGAGCAGGCAAGACGGAGUCAUGUGUCCUCCCUGGAAAAAUGUUCCCUGAAUGUGUCUGAUGUCUGCCAACGUGACUUCAGCGUCAACUGAGCCACCCUGUCAAUGUCUGGACUGGCAGUAGGUUAAAUAAAUAUUCAGGUCAGGGGAUUUCCAAAGGCAUCCAAAGAUGAGAUUCACGUGGAUGGGGUGGGUGGGGGUGUCCCCCAGGGUGGGGGCUUCCAAAAAUAUGCGGUCUGGUAUGUGGAAUGACGACCCGCCGCAUUUCUCAAGGACCGCUGGGGACAUUUGGAGGUGACAACAUUGAGAGGAGCAACAGAACAGCCCAUUUGAAGAAAA